CCUACGGGAGGCAGCAGUGGGGAAUUUUGGACAAUGGGGGAAACCCUGAUCCAGCCAUGCCGCGUGCGGGAAGAAGGCCUUCGGGUUGUAAACCGCUUUUGUCAGGGAAGAAACGGUCUGCGCUAAUACCGCGGACUAAUGACGGUACCUGAAGAAUAAGCACCGGCUAACUACGUGCCAGCAGCCGCGGUAAU
This 194-nucleotide ribosomal RNA is filed under the name uncultured bacterium. Its description in RNAcentral is "partial 16S rRNA". It matches the Rfam family "Bacterial small subunit ribosomal RNA", at positions 338 to 524 of the family's 1533-position model. The record is from RNAcentral.